CCUACGGGGGGCAGCAGUGAGGAAUAUUGGUCAAUGGGCGUAAGCCUGAACCAGCCAAGUCGCGUGAGGGAUGAAGGUUCUAUGGAUCGUAAACCUCUUUUAUAAGGGAGUAAAGUGCGGGACGUGUCCCGUUUUGUAUGUACCUUAUGAAUAAGGAUCGGCUAACGCCGUGCCAGCAGCCGCGGUAAUACGGAGGAUCCGAGCGUUAUCCGGAUUUAUUGGGUUUAAAGGGUGUGUAGGCGGCCCUUUAAGUCAGCGGGGAAAGUCUGUGGCUCAACCAUAGAAUUGCCGUUGAAACUGGGUGUCUUGAGUAUGUGUGAGGCAGGCGGAAUGCGUGGUGUAGCGGUGAAAUGCUUAGAUAUCACGCAGAACCCCGAUUGCGAAGGCAGCCUGCCAAGCCAUGACUGACGCUGAUGCACGAAAGCGUGGGGAUCAAACAGGAUUAGAUACCCUAGUAGUC
Molecule: ribosomal RNA, 460 nt
Filed under: uncultured bacterium
Lineage: Bacteria
Description: partial 16S ribosomal RNA
Rfam family: Bacterial small subunit ribosomal RNA
Source: RNAcentral